This 79-nucleotide unclassified non-coding RNA is filed under the name soil metagenome. RNAcentral's name for it is "partial internal transcribed spacer 1". The record is from RNAcentral.
AUUGAUAUUUUAUUAUUAUUUGUGAACGUACUACGAACAUAACAAAAUAAUAGUUAUAGUCAAUAAAAUAAUUAAAUCA